GAGUCACUGCCCACAGGCGAGCGAAAAGGCACCAUAUGCAAGGAUGGAGGGAUGCAGAAGGGAUGCAGGGAGGGAGCAGGGAGCGGAGAGGUGGGGGGAAUGGGGGGUGCAGCCCCUGCUCUUUGCACCCUCCUGCCUGGACCCUUUGCAGCCUGUGCCCUGCUUUUUGCAUUAUCCCCUUGCCUCCGUUUAACGCGCAGCGCCGGGCACCCGGCCCUCGCCGUCCCCCCCCCGCGGCUCCACAGCCCUCACCGCCGCGCACCGACCGUCUGGCCCUCGCCCCGCGCUCCCGCGCUGUCCCUGCUCCCGGGCGCCGGCUGGGCCUGCGGCCACCACGGGGGGAGGGAGGGAGGGAGGGGGGGGCCCCAGGGAAAGAGAUUUAAAAUAAACCAAAGCCGGAUCUGGCAACGAGGGGCGCUGAGGCCCGGUACCGGGGAAUAUACAGGUAAUAAUACUGCUCACAUAGAAAAGUAAUAAUCCUUCAUUUGUACAUUUAUACAGUGGCUCUCGGCUCCCCCCCGGCCUCCGCCGGCCCCGGGCGUCCGUGCCCUAUGCCAGGGGGUCGGCCAGCUCGUCGUCCGCUCCCCGCGACAGCAGCUCCCGCUUCUCGUCGGUGCUAGCCAGAGAGUUGCGGCUGUUGUGGGCGCCCAUGUACAGCGUGGCGUAGACGGGGUUGGUGAAGUUGGUGGGCUGCGGAGAGGAGGGUGAGGCGGUCGGACGGGGGCACGGACAUGGCGCUGUGCCCCCCUGCGCGGGGCGCCCUGCCGCGGCCCUGCCGCCCACCUUGUCCGGGUCCAGGGCAAAGUCGGCGUCCAGCAGCUCCCCCACGUCGUCGUCGGGCUCCCCCUCGUACAUCUUGUAGGUGGGGUUCCCGAUCUCCACGUUCAUGGCACCAUUGGUCAUCCGCUGGUGCUGGAAGCCCUUGGCGCUGGGGGGGGGGCAGGGGGCCACGGGAGGGAGACGUUGCCCGUGUCAGGAGAAGGCAUGCAGACACGAACGUCCAGGGUAUGUGCACGCAUGCACACGCAGGGGAAGCCGUGGCAGCCGCGUGGCUGCUGCAGCAUGGCGAGUCUGGCAGGAGGGACGUGUGCUCCAGUGCAGGUCAGCACGGUGGYGCGCGCUCGCAGGGAGGACGUCUGUGCAUGCAGGAGGACGCAGGCAGCCCUGCAGCUGCAUUGCAGCCGGGAAGGCAGGGCUGGUACCUGGCUGGCUGUGCAGUUGGAGACGCAGGUUUUGCCAUCGCUGCCCAAGUAGAAGUUGGUAGGACAAGCACACUUGUGUCCCCCGCCCGGUGACAGGAGGCAGAGGUUGCUGCAGCCUGCGUUGUUGGUCUUGCAGGGAUGGUUGGGAACUGCGGAGGCGGCAGGGAGAGAACUGAGAGUCAGACCAAGCAGAAAAGACCCUCCRAACAGUGCAUGAACCUUUGCUGACUCCCUUCCCACCACGGACAUCCCCCGUCUGUCCCCCACCCAACCUGGCCUCAGACACUGUGGCCAGCCCCUGCUCUCCUGCCUUACUUCCCAGGGCUUCUCCCCAGGGCCAGGGCCACCAGAGACCCUUGUGUCCAGCCCCAGGCCCGCGGCUCACCGUCAGGCUGGCGGUAGGGGUGGUAGAUGUGGAUGUCCAUCGGACGGUGCAGCGUGCUGAUCAGCAGCGUCUUGUUGGCACCCGUUGUCUUGUGAGCUCGGUUGAUGGAUUUGGUCUCCCAGUCGGUCCAGUAGAUGAAAUCCUCAAAGAGGGUGAGCGCRAAGAUGUGCGGGAUGUCCUGGCUCAGGACUGCAAGGGGGAGCAGGCAGCCCACUGAGAGGCUGCCCCAGCCCGUCCCUCCCGCCUCGCCCUCAGCCACACACAGGGCAGCUGCCCUCCAGGGCCAGCUCAGCCAGAAGCAAACAUCCUGCAGWGAGGAGCUGCCAACAGGGCCGGAGACAGAACCCAGGAGUCCUGGCUCCCAGCCCCACCAUCACGCCAAAGAUCACACUCCCGCGGAGGUGCAGAAGGGGACCGGGAGCCCCGGCCCUCUCACCCGUGUGCCUGUUGGAGCCGUCCAGGCUGGCAAACUCAAUGUAGUCCUCCCGYGCGUCGGCCCAAUAGAUUCGGCUGUUGAUGUAGUCCAGGGUGAGGCCGUUGGGCCACGUUAUCUUGGUGUCCACAAUGACGCUGCGGUUGGUGCCAUCCAUGCCAAUCUUCCCAAUCAGGGAGUGGUCGCCCCAGUCUGUCCAGUACAGGUAACUGGGGAGGAGAACAGAACCGCAGAGGGAGGCUGAGUCCAGCCCAAACCACAGCAGCGGCUGGGUU
This 2295-nucleotide long non-coding RNA is filed under the name Apteryx haastii (Great spotted kiwi). RNAcentral's name for it is "lncRNA (ENSAHAG00000010901.1)". The record is from RNAcentral. Lineage: Eukaryota; Metazoa; Chordata; Aves; Apterygiformes; Apterygidae.